Molecule: long non-coding RNA, 654 nt
Organism: Dioscorea cayenensis subsp. rotundata (Guinea yam)
Lineage: Eukaryota; Viridiplantae; Streptophyta; Magnoliopsida; Dioscoreales; Dioscoreaceae
Exons: 5
Source: RefSeq, a predicted model, not a curated record
UUAAGCACCAACGGCAACAUCGCUCACUACAUCAUCUUCUCUCGAACUUCUCUGAGAAGCUGGCAUCGCCCAACCCCUAAUCCUCUAUUAAAGCUAGGAAAUAGUAUGCAUCCUCGGUAUGGAAAUUUUCCUCGAGUUAUGCGACUGAUGCAUUGCUAUUUGACUGAGUGAGAUUCUGUGGUGGUUGUUCUUCAGUAGCAACAUCCUGUGUUAGUGCCUGGAAUUGUCUAAUUUGAACAUCUUCAAAGGGUUUUUGUUUUCGGCUCCUGGUUUCUAAUGAUCUUGGUAAACUUGGUGAUGUUCUAAAAGGGAGUCCCACACAUUCUUUUCUUAUCACACGGCGUGCGGAAAUUGACUUUGCCAGGCUAUCUUGUACCAUAUCCUUGCCUUUUCCAUCCUUUGAUAAAACUAGUGUGGAAUUGCUUACACUUUUGUAGAUAAACAUUGUGACCCAAUUAUUAUGUGUUGUUUCUUGUCUUGUAUUCCAUAUAUUAAUUUUCAGCUAUAUUACUAUUGAGAUUCAGUUAUCUAAUCACAUGGUAAUUGUAAUUAUUGUUUGUCCAAUGGAAUCUGUAUACAAUCAUUAAUUGUUCCUUCAGAUAGCUGGUCUUUUCAAAAUACUUUCACUUAAACUGCCACAAAAAAUCUCAUAGU